UUUAAAUUCAAAUUAGUGGAUCACAUUUCCGGUAAGCUUUGUUAAAUAGGAAUUGCUCAAUAAAAUCUUGUAAAUUUGAAAUAAUAAUGUAAAACGUCCAAAGUUUGUGAAAUUUUAUAUUUUUUUUCCUCGAAGGGGAGUAUUUUCAUAAAUUUACAAGGGUACAGAGUUGUUUGAAUAUUCAGAAUUAAAUAGUUAACUGAUUUAUUUAAAUAACUUCUCAAACAAUUAAUUCUUAAUCAUUUGAACGAAGAACACACUAUUUAUUAGGGGCCGUCCAUAAAUUACGUAACGCAAGAGGGGGGAGGGGGGGUCAUGGGAAGAGCGUUACGAAUUGUUAUGUAGGGGGAGGGGGGUAUAACAAAUUUGUUACGUAACGCAUUUCAUAAACGCGAUUAAAAAUCGGAUUGAACUCAUGUCAUCCAGAAGGUUUCAGUAGGUCCUCUCAAAGCUCUAAAAAAGAUCAGAUUUUUCUGCUCAUCGCUCAUUCUGAUCUUUUUUGCUCGGCUGUGCGCAUGAGAUUUCGCUCAAAAUCAGAUUUUCUUGCUCAACAAAAAAAUCGAGUUUUGGGUUGAUUUUCUCUCUCAUAAUCCUGCUCAUUCUGCUCCACAUCAGCACAUCAGCUGUUUGUUUACUUAAAUUUUUCAUUUAAAAAUUAAGCAAAGUUUUCUAAAACAUAUUCUUUAUCAUUAUGGGUCCCAAGACCAAGGUUAAGAGUACCAGUGUCGAAAAAGUUGCAAAUCCUGUAAUUUGUCGUAAAAAACGUAGCGUUGCAGAGAUAGACGGCAAAGACUUUUCGCUGGACACCACAUAUAAAAAUUGAAAUGGCACAUUAUGUGGUCGACAAUUAUACCGCGUUUAAGCUCGACCGGCAGUACGAACUAGAUUUGAAAAGGUUCGAGAUGGACAAAGAGCUGCGACUAAAAGAACUGGAAUGCGCAAACAAAAAUCUAGAGAAAGGACGAGAAAAUUCAGCGAAGCUUAGCGAAGCCGAAAACAAAAUACUGGAACUCAAAAUUCAAUUGGAAAUUCUUAAAUCUAAGUCCUGAAUAUGAGAUUUAUAAAACUGUUUAUUGCUGCUGCAUAAAAUGAAUUAUUUGAGAUAAUGCCGUUCGUUUUAAUUCUCCUGCAAUAUUUUCACAGACUGGCACAGUUUCAUCAUUGUUGUCCUCGUUAUCAAUAAAAACUUCAUCUCCCUCCUGCACCCAUGGAUUGCGUGGUAUCAUUAUAUUAUGUUAAGACCACAUAAUGAUAAAAAUUCUAAUAUCUCUUGACGUUCAGUUAUUUUCGGCAUUUUGUGUAAUUAUCAAACUGAAUUUAGAACCAUGAAAAUGAUAAACAAACAAUUGAACUUCCCACAAAUACAGAUCACGAUUCUCAAGAAUUAUGAUCGAUUAAAAAGUGGUACGUUCAAGGUUUGAGCAGAAAAAUCUGAUUUUUUAUUUUUCUGCUCAUUGCUCAUUUCGCUCAUUUUUUGAGCCUUGAGAGCUCCUAGUGUACGCAUGUAAAUACGUUUUUCAUUAUGGUGCUCACAUUAAAAGAAGAGCAAAAUUCUUGCCUACUUGUAAACCAUCAUUCCUCCACAGUGACCUCGGAGGGCGAUGGUGUGACGUAAGUUUCACGAUUAAUUGAGCCUUACCUUUACGAUGAGAAUUUGAUCGGAAUUUGCCGAUCACCUGAGCCCCAACGAGGUCACUUAGGCGCCAUGAUGGUUGUCAAGAAUUGUACUCAUCUAUUAAUGGUCGUACGAUAGUUUUCCGGGUGCAACUUGACAAAAGGUUCCAUUGUGAGUCUUGGUAAACGUUGAGAGACCUGUCAGAUUUACAAUUUCCAUUUCUUGUCGAAUAUGAUUUCGGUUGUUCUUGAACAAGAAAUUCACAAAAUUCUAAUUUAUCUAGCAAUUUAAAAGAAAUAGAAGCAAUAAAAGCGACAUUUGUCUACACAACCUGGAA
Molecule: long non-coding RNA, 1952 nt
Organism: Folsomia candida
Lineage: Eukaryota; Metazoa; Arthropoda; Collembola; Entomobryomorpha; Isotomidae
Exons: 2
Source: RefSeq, a predicted model, not a curated record